RNAcentral lists this ribosomal RNA (813 nucleotides) under uncultured Alphaproteobacteria bacterium. RNAcentral describes it as "bacterial SSU rRNA". It matches the Rfam family "Bacterial small subunit ribosomal RNA", at positions 35 to 887 of the family's 1533-position model. The record is from RNAcentral. Lineage: Bacteria; Pseudomonadati; Pseudomonadota; Alphaproteobacteria.
GCUUGCUGCAUGCUUUAUACAUGCAAGUCGAACGGAGGCCCUAGCUUGCUAGGUGUCCUUAGUGGCGCACGGGUGAGUAACACGUGGGAACAUACCUUAUAGUACGGAAUAACUGCGGGAAACUGUAGCUAAUACCGUAUAUUCCAGUAAUGGGAAAGAUUUAUCGCUAUAAGAUUGGCCCGCGCAAGAUUAGCUUGUUGGUGAGGUAAAAGCUCACCAAGGCUUCGAUCUUUAGCUGGUUUGAGAGGACGAUCAGCCACACUGGGACUGAGACACGGCCCAGACUCCUACGGGAGGCAGCAGUAGGGAAUAUUGGACAAUGGGGGCAACCCUGAUCCAGCAAUGCAGCGUGAGUGACGAAGGCCUUAGGGUUGUAAAACUCUUUCAUCGGUGAGGAUAAUGACAGUAGCCGAAGAAGAAGGACCGGCUAAUUCCGUGCCAGCAGCCGCGGUAAUACGGAAGGUCCUAGCGUUGUUCGGAAUUACUGGGCGUAAAGCGCAUGUAGGCGGAACAGAAAGUUAGAAGUGAAAUCCCUGGGCUCAACCUAGGAAUUGCUUUUAAAACUUCUGUUCUGGAAUUCAGGAGAGGAAAAUGGAAUUUCCAGUGUAGAGGUGAAAUUCGUAGAUAUUGGAAGGAACACCAGUGGCGAAGGCGAUUUUCUGGACUGAUAUUGACGCUGAGAUGCGAAGGCAUGGGUAGCAAACGGGAUUAGAUACCCCGGUAGUCCAUGCAGUAAACGAUGGGUGCUAGUCGUCGGACUUUUGUUCGGUGUCGUAGCUAACGCGUUAAGCACCCCGCCUGGGGAGUACGGUC